This 106-nucleotide ribosomal RNA is filed under the name Colwellia sp. MB02u-19. RNAcentral describes it as "partial 16S ribosomal RNA". It matches the Rfam family "Bacterial small subunit ribosomal RNA", at positions 1438 to 1533 of the family's 1533-position model. Lineage: Bacteria; Pseudomonadati; Pseudomonadota; Gammaproteobacteria; Alteromonadales; Colwelliaceae. The record is from RNAcentral.
ACCCUUCGGGGAGGACGGUCACCACUUUGUGAUUCAUGACUGGGGUGAAGUCGUAACAAGGUAACCCUAGGGGAACCUGGGGUUGGAUCACCUCCUUAUCUUGAAG